RNAcentral lists this transfer RNA (72 nucleotides) under Bos taurus (domestic cattle). It matches the Rfam family "tRNA". From Rfam's summary of the family: Transfer RNA (tRNA) molecules are approximately 80 nucleotides in length. Their secondary structure includes four short double-helical elements and three loops (D, anti-codon, and T loops). Further hydrogen bonds mediate the characteristic L-shaped molecular structure. tRNAs have two regions of fundamental functional importance: the anti-codon, which is responsible for specific mRNA codon recognition, and the 3' end, to which the tRNAs corresponding amino acid is attached (by aminoacyl-tRNA synthetases). tRNAs cope with the degeneracy of the genetic code in two manners: having more than one tRNA (with a specific anti-codon) for a particular amino acid; and 'wobble' base-pairing, i.e. permitting non-standard base-pairing at the 3rd anti-codon position. RNAcentral also lists the same sequence under 1 other name. The record is from Rfam by way of RNAcentral. Lineage: Eukaryota; Metazoa; Chordata; Mammalia; Artiodactyla; Bovidae.
UCCCUGGUGGCUCAGUGGUAAAGAAUCUGCCUGCCAGCGCAGGAGACCUGGGUUCGAUCCCUUGUUUGGGAA